This 464-nucleotide ribosomal RNA is filed under the name uncultured bacterium. RNAcentral's name for it is "bacterial SSU rRNA". It matches the Rfam family "Bacterial small subunit ribosomal RNA", at positions 338 to 795 of the family's 1533-position model. The record is from RNAcentral.
CCUACGGGGCGCAGCAGUGGGGAAUAUUGCACAAAGGGCGCAAGCCUGAUGCAGCCAUGCCGCGUGUAUGAAGAAGGCCCCAGGGUUGUAAAGUACUUUCAGUCGGGAGGAAGGCGUUGAUGCUAAUAUCAUCAGCGAUUGACGUUACCGACAGAAGAAGCACCAGCUAACUCCGCGCCAGCAGCCGCGGUAAUACGGAGGGUGCAAGCGUUAAUCGGAAUUACUGGGCGUAAAGCGCACGCAGGCGGUUGAUUAAGUUAGAUGUGAAAUCCCCGGGCUUAACCUGGGAAUGGCAUCUAAGACUGGUCAGCUAGAGUCUUGUAGAGGGGGUAGAAUUCCAGGUGUAGCGGUGAAAUGCGUAGAGAUCUGGAGGAAUACCGGUGGCGAAGGCGGCCCCCUGGACAAAGACUGACGCUCAGGUGCGAAAGCGUGGGGAGCAAACAGGAUUAGAUACCCUCGUAGUC